CCCUUUUUGUUCCCCAUCCCCUUUAGUUCAUCCCCGAAGGGGAACAUCCCCUAAAGUUCCCCUUUAGGGGAAGAACUAAAGGUGUGUUCUUCCCCUUUAGGGGAACCCCCUUCUUCUUCCCCUUCGUUUUCACCCCUUUAGGGGAACUAAAGAAGACGGAGUCCCCUAAAGGGGAAGAAGAAGAGACUUUGGUUCAUCCCCUUUAGGGGAACUAAAGAAGACGAAGAAAACGAAGAAGAGACUUUGGGGUGUGUUCUUCCCCUUUAGGGGAACCCCCUUCUUCUUCCCCUUCGUUUUCACCCCUUUAGGGGAACUAAAGAAGACGGAGUCCCCUUUAGGGGAAGAAGGGGUGUUCCCCUUCUUCCCCUAAAGGGGACGGAGUCCCCUAAAGGGGAAGAAGGGGAGCACUUCUUCAUCCCCUUUAGGGGAACUAAAGAAGACGGAGUCCCCUUUAGUUCCCCUAAAGGGGAUGAAGAAGAAGAGACUUUGGUUCAUCCCCUUUAGGGGAACUAAAGAAGACGAAGAACUAAAGGGGAAGACGACAUCCCCGAAGGGGGACAUCAUCCCCUAAAGGGUUGUCUUCUUUAGGGUUGUCUUCUUUAGGGUUGUCUUCUUUAGGGUUGUCUUCUUUAGGGUUGUCUUCUUUAGGGUUGUCUUCUUUAGGGUUGUCUUCUUUAGGGUUGUCUUCUUUAGUUCUUCCCCCUAAAGGGGAAGAACUAAAGUUCCCCUUUAGGGGAAGAAGAAGAACACUAAAGGGGAUGAACAAAGAAGAUGACUUGNGAAGACAACCCUUUGGUCCCCCCCCCUUUGGGGAUGACGACGAAGGUAACGAAGAAGACACGCUUGGUCACAAGACUUUAUGGCUGAUUUACGGGGCUCCAAGCUAGUUUGCUCACAGCAUAAAAUCGGGCCANNN
Molecule: long non-coding RNA, 916 nt
Filed under: Volvox carteri
Lineage: Eukaryota; Viridiplantae; Chlorophyta; Chlorophyceae; Chlamydomonadales; Volvocaceae
Description: long non-coding RNA (VCAR_LNC004366)
Source: RNAcentral